RNAcentral lists this ribosomal RNA (393 nucleotides) under uncultured bacterium. RNAcentral describes it as "partial 16S ribosomal RNA". It matches the Rfam family "Bacterial small subunit ribosomal RNA", at positions 523 to 918 of the family's 1533-position model. The record is from RNAcentral.
AUACGGAAGGUCCGGGCGUUAUCCGGAUUUAUUGGGUUUAAAGGGAGCGCAGGCGGAGAUGCAAGCGUGACGUCAAAUUUCGGGGCUCAACCCCGUCUCGCGUCGCGAACUGCGUCCCUUGGAUGCGGGAAGGGGAGGCGGAACUCGUGGUGUAGCGGUGAAAUGCAUAGAUAUCACGAAGAACUCCGAUCGCGAAGGCAGCCUUCCGGCCCGUCAACGACGCUCAUGCUCGAAGGUGCGGGUAUCAAACAGGAUUAGAUACCCUGGUAGUCCGCACAGUAAACGACGGACACCCGCGGUUUGGCCUGUAUGGCUGAGCCGCCAAGCGAAAGCGUUAAGUGUCCCACCUGGGGAGUACGCCGGCAACGGUGAAACUCAAAUGAAUUGGCGGGG